RNAcentral lists this small RNA (547 nucleotides) under Arabidopsis thaliana (thale cress). RNAcentral's name for it is "putative long intergenic non-coding RNA". The record is from RNAcentral. Lineage: Eukaryota; Viridiplantae; Streptophyta; Magnoliopsida; Brassicales; Brassicaceae.
GGUAGUGACUCAGCAUGAUGCUGGAGUCGCACCAGGGUUCGAGUAACGAAAUUGGUACCCCGAGUGAGAAGGAAAAAUUGUUUCCUCUCGACUUCCAUCGAGUGAUGAUGGUUGGCUUCCACUGAGUGUCAAUGGAAGAUGAAUGACAAAGGAGUUUAUUGUGACUCCGUCAUGACCAGACUGCAGUCUGGUGUCCGGGUCUUCCCUGAAGUGAAGAUUCGGGGUCGGGAAUGUUUAUCACAGAGAAUCAUGCCUCUGGUGAUAGCCGAAAUGAGGUAAUCCAAAUUACCUCUUUUUUUAUAAAAGACAGAGAAUCAACUUCUGUUACUACAAACGAGGAACAGAGCAUCACCUUAAUUAUCUGCAAAUUAAAAGACAUUGACUUGUUCUUUGAAUAGUGUGUUUGGCUGAUUCAUUCAAACUUCCCAUCAUACUACUACUAAACCGACUCUGACCAGUGCAAAAAAUACCAGCUUUCCACCAAAAUUCACUAUUUCGUUUCAUAUUAUUCUGAUUUCUGAAUAUAUGCAACUAUAAUAUAUUAUGA